UUAUUCUCAGGUGCCCGGUCCCAGGUGCAGCUGGUGGAGUCCGGAGGGGAUGAGAAAAAGCCCGGAGACUCUCUCCGCCUUUCCUGCAAAGCCUCCGGGUUCACCUUCAGCGAUUACUACAUGCACUGGGUCCGACAGGCUCCUGGGAAGGGGCUGGAGUGGGUCGCUGAUAUUAGACCCGAUGCAUCCAAGCAGUGGUACUCCCCGGCUGUUGAAGGCCGAUUCACCAUCUCCAGGGACAACUCCAACAACCUGCUGUAUCUGCAACUGACCGGCCUGAAGCCCGAGGACACCGCCCGCUAUUACUGUGCGAGACACAGUGACACGAAACCGAUUUGUGAUCAUACAAAAACCCAGGAGACGGAAUCGCCCUUCUCCCGGCAGCCGCGCGGGGGCAGCAGUGACACACGCACCGCUCCGGGCUGGGACAGGAGACCCGGCACCCGGGUGAAUGUAACACAAACCUCCCGGCACUUUUAA
Non-coding RNA from Mauremys reevesii (Reeves's turtle), 480 nucleotides. Lineage: Eukaryota; Metazoa; Chordata; Testudines; Geoemydidae. The record is from the annotation of a RefSeq genome assembly.